This 8719-nucleotide long non-coding RNA is filed under the name Carica papaya (papaya). RNAcentral's name for it is "long non-coding RNA (CPAP_LNC007618)". Lineage: Eukaryota; Viridiplantae; Streptophyta; Magnoliopsida; Brassicales; Caricaceae. The record is from RNAcentral.
UUCAUUUGGGAGAGAAGCUGAAAAAAGAGAAUGAGAGAAUGAGAGAGAGAGAGAGAGAGAGAGAUGAUUGGGGAGAGAAGGAAGAAAGGGUGUCACGCGAGAAAGCCAAGAGAGAGAAAAGAGAGAAGAGAAGAAAGAAGAGAAAGGCUGGAAGCGAAGAAGGGAAGGGAAAAGAAAGGAGAGAAAAAAGAAGAGAAGGAGGGUGGCCGAGCGGGAAGAAGGGAAGCCGAGAACGGCCGCACAUAGAGAGAGGAGAAGAGAGAUAAUCGUGGAGGAGGAAGAAGAAGAAGGGGAAUUGUGGCCGAGGAGUACCAUAUGUCGGCGGAAUCUAAAAUCAAGGUUGUUCAGGUUUUUCGAGCACCGCAACGCACCCGAGCUAGGUGCAUUCCUUUUCUUCUUUUGGUUUGUGUUUUUGGCCAAAUGAGCGUUCACCUGUGUGUGUGUGUGUGCAGGUUUGGGAGCUAAAGGACCGCGAGGUGGCUGAGAAGAGACCACCGGGAGCCAAACCGAGGCCGAAUCGCCCCACACUAGAAAGGUAAAGCUUUUUCGUAUUUUUGGUGGUUGUUGAGUGGCGGUGGAGUGGGGACGAUGUUUGGCUGGCCGUGCGGGCUAGACUGGGCCACCCAUCCUGGCAGGAACUGAGGAGGUUUCCUCGGGAAUGGGGAAAACCCACCCACCAUGGAAGCUAGAGGGUCUUCUGUGGGAAUAGAGGUUGGAAUCGCUUUUUGGGAUUCUGAUUCGCCAUCUGAGAAGCUGGAAAGUCUUCCUUGGAAAAAGGGAAUCCGAUUCGCCGAACGGGAAGCCGAAAAAUUUUUCGAGUACGGAUCCCGAUAAUUUUGGGUAUUUUGUUGGGUGGUCAUUAUAAUCCAUAAUUCGAUUAAAUUAAAUUUUAGUAUUUUGAAGUAUUUUAAUUAAUUUAUGUCGUGUGUAUAGGAAAUUAGAACAUUCAGGUGGAUCUGUAAAAACGCGUAGGAGUGUAAGUAUUUCUAAAUCUCAAUAGGAUUUGAAUUUUGAAAAGUGCAUUCAUUUUAUAAAAAUGCUUAAUUUUAAAAUUUCAAUGGACAUUAAUCCAAUUUUAGAUGAAAAAUAAAAUUCAAAUUAUGAUCAGUAAAUUUAAGCAAUUGGAACCUUAUGAGGAGACGAAACCAGAAAACAGACCCAAUGGACUGUGAGUUAUUUGAACUGAUGAAAUACAAAAUUAAAAACUUUAAAAAUUCCUAAUUAAGCGAAAAAUAGAAAAAAAAAAUAAAAAAUAAAUAAAAAUAAAUAAUUGAGGUUGUGAAAUGAUCAUUUAAAUAAAUUAACAAUUUUGGAAUGAGAUGAUAGGNNNNNNNNNNNNNNNNNNNNNNNNNNNNNNNNNNNNNNNNNNNNNNNNNNNNNUUAGUCUGAAUCGAUGAGGGGAGUGUGUGUGUGUGACAUGUUGAAACUGCAUAUGGAUAGAGUCUGAAACCUAAUCCAGACGUGGAUAGGUACUUGUGAGUGUGAGUCACCUAAUAAACAUACCUGCUGUGGCUACUGUUAGAUUUAUGUGUAUGUGCUAUCCAUGCGAUGGAAGGAUCCAUUUUGUCUUUCCUUAAUAACGACAUAAACAGUAUCGCGCGAAGAAACCAUAUAAAUGAUCUUUCGAGUGUAUCUAUGAUCUUUUGUGUGUGUGUGAUUAUGUUUCAAAAUGAUGAUUGAUAUUCAAUGUAUUUAUGACUUUCGAGAGUAUGAGAAUAUAAAUUUGAAGUUUGUAUAUGAUAUUCGAGAGAAUUCAUAAGAUCGAUCAGAAACAUGUGAAAUGGUAAAAAUAAGAACAUGAAUUUGGCACUAAAACAUUUUUAUUACUUUUAUUUCUUACUGUGUGUUUUGUAUGAAAUUUUAUUUGGGUUGAAAGAACAUGAAUACUUAUUGAGUUGGUGAAGCUCAUUAAAUUUCACCCUCAUAUUUUUCAGAGGAGAAUGAAGAGCCAGCACCGCUGUCAGAAGAGUAUAACCUGUAAAAGGAUUCUUUUUUGUAUAUUUUGUGUAUAUUCGAGAAGUUUUAUUUUGUUAUGUUAGACUUUAAAUUCUAACCUCAUGUGUUAUAUAUAUAGUUACUGUACAUAUCAUAUGGGAUGUUAGGUAGUAUUAUAUUUUUUGAUCUAUACAUGUAUAUAUUUUAUGGAUCCACUGCAUGAAAAUGAUAUGAGCAGGAAUUACGCCUCAUAUCGAGCAUCGGGGCGUGACAGGUGGUAUCAGAUCCCACAGUCCUAGAAUUAUCUCUUGUGCAUGAGGUUUUAGAGUUUAAAUAUUGUAUUUUUGCAACUAUUAGGGUGUUAAGAAGUAGGAAAUGUUAUUUUGAAAUGUUCUAUUCAUUUUUUUCUAAAUGAAGGGUUGUAAGAUGAGACGUGGAUAGACUCCACUGGAGCAACCUCCCUCUUACAUGUUCUUACAGAGCAUAUUGACCAGUUGUACCACAUGGUAGAGGAGCUUGUUAACUAGCAUAGAGAAUGGAUACCUAGCCCUCCUCUAAUACUGACNNNNNNNNNNNNNNNNNNNNNNNNNNNNNNNNNNNNNNNNNNNNNNNNNNNNNNNNNNNNNNNNNNNNNNNNNNNNNNNNNNNNNNNNNNNNNNNNNNNNNNNNNNNNNNNNNNNNNNNNNNNNNNNNNNNNNNNNNNNNNNNNNNNNNNNNNNNNNNNCACUCGGUACCUCUGAGAAGGUAGAUUCUAGGGUUUAGUUCACAAGAUAAGAGGCCCAGAAUGAUAACAGAGAUAUCUCCUAAACCACCAUCAACUCUUGAUAAGGCACUAACAUGUCUUACUUGUGAAAAGAAUCAUGGUAAUCAAUUGUAUCAUUGUGUCACUCGAUCCUGUUUCAAGUGUGGUAGCAAACAACAUCUGAUCCGUAAUUGACCAUUUAUGAAGGAACAGCUAGAAGCUUAAAGAUGGGGACGAGUGUACACCCUAACUGCAAUAGAUGUUGAAGUAAACUUAUAUAUGGUUCAAGGUAUGCAUCUUGUCUCAAAGAAUCUAGCAAAAGUAUUAGUAGAUCCUGGUUCCACACACUCAUUUGUGUCACAUACUUUUGCACCACGAUUGGGUGUUACACCUAUUUAUUUGAAGCGUAUUUUGAUGAUAUCCACAUCAGGCAUGAGUGUAUUACUUUCUGAUGUUAUCUAUAAAAAAUUUAUAUUAGAGAUAGCUGGUAGGGAAUUAAAGAUAGACCUGGUACUUUUAGAUGUGGGAGAUUUUGAUGUAAUUAUAGGAAUGAAUUGGCUAGCAACUCAUUACACGACUUUAGAUUGUCAUAACAAGAAGGUUAUAUUUAAUAUCCCUAAUGAAGAAACUUUUAGUUCGUAAUUGAAUGGUGGUAUUUACCAUAUAGUAGGUUAUUUAAGUUAUAUAAUUUAUUGAGCAUAACAUGUAAAUGUUGACAUGGUAGGUGAUAAAGAUAAGAAAAUUGAUUUUUAUGAUGUGUUGGUGGUCUGUGAGUAUCUUGAUGUAUUCCCUGACGAACUUCCAGGAUUACCUCCAGGCCGUGAAAUAGAAUUUUCCAUUGAUAUACAACCAGGCACCCAACCAAUCUCUAUUACUCCUUACAAACUGGUGAGAGCUGAAAUGGAAGAAUUAAAGAAGCAAGUAACAGAACUUCGAGAGAAAUGAUUCAAUCGCCCUAGUGUUUCUCCUUGGGUACUCCUGUAAUAUUUUCCAAUAAGAAAGAUGGAACUGAUUGAAUGUGUAUUGAUUGUAGACAACUAAACCGGGUCAUCAUCAAGAAUAAAUACCCUUUGCCUAAAAUUGAUUACCUAUUUGACCAAUUACAAAGGGCACAAAUAUUUUCCAAAAUUAAUUGGCGAUCUAGUUACCAUCAAGUGAAGAUCAAACCCGAGGAUAUUUUAAAGACCGCCUUUAGAAACAGGUAUGACCAUUAUAAAUUCUUGGUCUUACCUUUUGGAUUGACGAAUGCUCCGACGGUAUUUAUGGACAUGAUGAAUCGGAUGUUUGACCAUUUGUUAUAUCAAUUUGUUAUUGUGUUCAUUGAUGAUAUAUUAAUUUGCUCUAAGAGUCGAGAAGAACAAGUUGAACACUUAAGGCAAGUUCUGAAAACUCUUAGAAAAGAAAAGUUGUAUGCAAAAUGGAGUAAACGUGCAUUCUAGCUCGAACAGAUUACUUUCUUGGGUCAUGUGAUUUCUAAAGACGGAGUAUCUGUGGAUCCAAUAAAAGUUGAGCCUAUCAUAGGAUUGGAAUGUCCUACUAUGGUAAAGGGUGUUCCGAAAAUUUUUGGUAUGGAUGGGUGCUACCGCCGAUUUGGGAAAGGAUUCUCUAAGAUUACAACCCCUCUUACCCAGCUUAUUAAGAAGGAUGUUAAGUUUGAAUGGACCCCAGACUAUGAAAAUAGCUUUAGAGAACUCAAAAAUCGACUUGUGACGGCUCCAAUGUUAAUACUACCUAGUGGAUCAAGGGGUUAUGCAGUGUAUACUGAUGCGUCAGUCCAGGAUUUAGGAUGUGUGUUAAUGUAAAAUCACAUAGUCAUCGCUUAUGGGCCAAGACAAUUGAAGAAUCAUGGACGAAAUUAUCUGACCCAUGAUUUAGAAUUAGCUGCAAUUGUGCAUGCCCUUAGGAUCUGGCGUCAUUAUCUGUAUGGAGAGACAUUGAGAUCUAUACUGAUCACAUGAGUCUAAAGUAUCUCUUCUCGCAGAGGGAAUUGAGCAUGCGCAAGCAUAGAUGGAUGGAUCUUCUUAAGGACUAUGAUUGCAAAAUAUCCUACCAUCAAAGGAAAAGAAAUGUGGUGGUUGAUACAUUGAGUCGCAGCGCUUUCGACAUGAUUGCAAAACUAGUAGCUUCUAAAUGUAAGACUCUAGAGACCUUACAAGAAUUACAAUAAGGUGUUCACAAAUAGUGAAUGUAUAUAACCAGUUUGAGAAUUGAGCUAGUAUUGAUCUAGAAAAUUAAAAAUGCUCAAGAAACUGACACUGUUAUAGGGACCUUGAAGAGAGAAGCUGAACAGAAUUUAAGACCUGGUUUCAGAGUUCACAAUGAUGGGUUGCUUUGAUUCAGAGGAAGAUUGUGCGUUCCUGACGAUCAUAAACUUUGAAGAGACUCAUAUUAGAGGAAGCAUAUAAUUCUAGAUUUACCAUACACCCAGGCAUCACCAAAAUAUAUUGGGGUUUAUGACCUCGGUAUUGGUGGAUUAAGUGAAGAAUAUAUCUUCGAAUUUGUUAGUAAAUGUCCCACAUGUCAGAUGAUUAAAGCUGAACACCAUAAGCUAGAGGGAUUACUCUGACCUCUACCAAUUCUAGAGUAGAAGUGAGAACAUAUCACUAUGGACUUUGUGAUGGGUUUGCCUAGGACUAAAAUGAACCAAACUACUAUCUGGUGAUAGUAGACCGAUUAAUGAAGUCAACUUAUUUUCUGCCAAUGAUAAACUUGCGAGAUUAUAUAUUAAAGAAGUUAUUAGACUUCAUGGAAUUUCGGUAUCAGUAGUUUCAGAUCAAGAUGCUCGUUUCACCUUCAGGUUUUAGACAAGUCUUCAACAGGCCAUAGGCACCACUUUAUCAUUCAGCAUAGCAUUCCACCCACAAGCGGAUGGUAAACGGAAUGAACCAUCUAGACAUUAGAAGAUAUGCUUAGGGCUUGUGCACUAGAGAAAAUUGGGACGACCAUCUAUUAUUGAUUGAAUUUGCCUAUAACAACAACUAUCAGUCCAGUAUUAGUACAGCUCCAUAUGAAACACUUUAUGGCAGACCCUGCAAAUCUCCUGUGUGUGGGGAAUAAAUUAGGGACAAGAAAUUAAUUAGACCCAAAUUAAUUGAAGAAACUACCUCUAAGAUUGUCCUAAUUAAGAAAAACCUUCAAACCACCCAAAGCAGACAUAAGAAUUAUGUAGAUAACUAUAGAAGGGGUUUGGAGUUUGAAACAGGGGAUCAUGUGUUCUUGAAAGUGUCACUAAUAAAGGGCCUUAUGAGAUUUGGAAAGAAAGAUAAAUUGAACCCUUGCUUCAUUGUACCAUUAAAAAUACUGGAGAGAAUUGGAUCGAUUACAUACCGAUUGGCAUUGCCAUAAGAGUUGGCUAACAUCCAUGAUGUAUUUCGUGUAUCCAUGGUACGCAAAUACCAUCCUGAUCCCUCGCAUGUAAUUCAGUAUGAGGAGAUUCCUAUUGAUGAAGAUAUAUCCUAUCAGGAAAUGCCCAUAGAUAUAUUGUACAAAUAGGAGCGGAUAUCGAGGAAUAAGACUAUUUUGAUGGUUAAGGUACUCUGACGACAUCAUUUGCCAACGAAAGCUACUUGAGAAAUUAAAGAUUCGAUACGAGCUCGAUUUCCUCACCUACUAUAUAGAUAUAGCAAUUUGGAGGACCGGAUUUUUAUAAGGAGGGGACAAUUGUAAUAUUCACCUAAAAAGAAAAAAAAAAGAACUGUAAAUAAAAAUAAAAAUUAGAAUUAUGAUUUAAAUGAAAGCAUUUAAGAAAAAGGAUGUAAAAACAUAAAUAAGUGGAAGUAGAAGGGGGCAAAAGAAAUCAGGAAAAAUGGAUGGUGCAGAUCGGACCACUGGAGGAGAUUAGAUGAAGGAUAUUUAAAAGGAAAUAGACGGUCCAGAUGAAGUCAUGAAGAUCCAACAGCUGAGGGAACGGGUAUAAAAGAGAAAGAGAUUCGGGUUUCUUUCAUUUGGGAGAGAAGCCGAAAAAGAGAAAGAAAGAAAGAGGCAAUUAGGGAGAGAAGGAAGAGAGGAUGUCGCGCGGGGAAGCUGAGAGAGAGAAAAGAGAGAGGAAAGAAGAGAGAGGCCGGAAAAGAAGAAGGGAAGGGAAAAAAAGGAGAGAAAAUAGAAAAGAAUGAGGUGGCUGAGUGGGAAGAAGAAAAGUCGAGAACGACCGUGCAAGAGGAGAGGAUACGAGAGAGAAUCGCGAAAGAGGAAGAAGAAGAAGGGGAAUCGUGACCGAGGAGCACCGUGUGAUGGUGGAAUCCAAAAUUGAGGUUGUUUGGGUUUUUCGAGCACCAUACCCGAGCUAGAUGCGUUCAUUUUCUUCUUUCAGUUUGUAUUUUUUACCAAACGAGUGUUCACUUGUGUGUGUGUAUGUGCAGGUUUGGGGCUAAAGGACCACAGAGUAGCUGAGAGGAGACCACCGGGAGCUAAACUGAGGCCGAAUCGCCCCAUGCCAGAAAGAUAAAACUUUUUUGUGUUUUUGGUGGUUAUUGAGCGGGGGUGGAGCGGGGAUGGUGUCUGGCUGGCUGCGCGGGUUUGGCCAAGCCACCCAUCCAUAUGGGAACCGAGGAAGCUUCCUUGGGAAGGGGGAAAACCCAACCACCGUGGAAGCCAAAGGGUCUUCUGCGGGAAUAGAGGCCGAAAGGNNNNNNNNNNNNNNNNNNNNNNNNNNNNNNNNNNNNNNNNNNNNNNNNNNNNNNNNNNNNNNNNNNNNNNNNNNNNNNNNNNNNNNNNNNNNNNNNNNNNNNNNNNNNNNNNNNNNNNNNNNNNNNNNNNNNNNNNNNNNNNNNNNNNNNNNNNNNNNNNNNNNNNNNNNNNNNNNNNNNNNNNNNNNNNNNNNNNNNNNNNNNNNNNNNNNNNNNNNNGAAAAUGGAAAAUAAAAGAAAUAAAUAAAAUAAAAUAAAAGGAAAAAAAAAUAAUUAGGUUGUGAAAUGUUUAUUGAAUAAAUUAAGAAUUUUGGAAUGAGAGGUUAGGGACCUUGAAUAUUUCUCGUUUAGUCUGAAUCGAGAAAGGGAGUGUGUGUGUAUGACUAAAGUUCAGCGGGCAUAGUGAAUCUAGACAUGGAUAGAGUCUGAAACAUAAUCCAGACGUGGAUAGGUACUUGUGAGUGUGAGUCAUCUAGCAAACGUACCUACUGUGGUCAUUGUAAGAUUAUUGUGUGUGUGCUAUCCAUGCGAUAAGAUGAUUCAUUUCGCAUUUUCUCAUAGAGAAUAUAAACGACAUCACGCGAUGAAAUCAUAUAAAUGACCUUUCGAGUUUAUCUGUGAUAUUUUAUAUAUGUGUGAUUAUGUUUUGAAAUGAUGAUUGAUAUUCUAGUGUAUUUAUGACUUUCAAGAGUAUGAGAAUAUACAUUUGAGGCUUGUAUAUGAUAUUCGAAAGAAUUCAUAAGAUCGAUUAGAAACAUGUGAAAUAGUAAAAAUAAGAACAUGAAUUUGGCACUGAAAUAUUUUUAUUGCUUUUGUUUCUUACCGUGUGUUUUGCUUGAAAUUUUAUUUAGGUUGAGAAAACGAGAAUACUUAUUGAGUUGGUAAAAGUUAUUAAAUUUUACCAUAAUAUUUUUCAGAUGAGAAUGAAGAGCCAGUACUGCUGCUAGAUGAGUAGAACCUGUAAAAGAGUUAUUGUUUUUGUAUAUUUUGUGCAUAUUCGAGAAGUUUUAUUUUGUUCUAUUAUACUCUAAAUUCUAAUCUCGUAAUUUGUAUAUAUAGUUACUGUACAUACUACAUUGGAUGUCACUACAUGAGAUGUUAGGUUGUAUUGUAUUUUUUUUAUCUAUGUAUGUAUAUAUUUUAUGAACUCACUGUAUGAAAAUGACAUGAACAGAAAUUGCGCCUCAUAUCGAGUAUCAGAACAUGACAUAUUUAAACGGUAGAAUCUUCUGAAUCAACACAAUGCCUAAAAAUUAAUUUUUUCUGAAAACUAGAUUUCAAAAAUUGUGAUUCAGGGACCAUAUCCGCUUUUAUAUCGACAAACUUUUAUAAUUCUCAUUUUACUCAUUAUAAAAUGAGAAUACUACAAAAAUAGUACGUACACAUUACAAACUAAUACUUAAAUCCAAUGCAUUAA